CGCCAACUUCGGCAGCUCUUCUCGAUGUCUCGCCGCGGGCUGUGCCUCACAGGCUACGGGAGGGGAGAGUGUCUCCCCACGCCGGGGUCCCGGCCUCUGGGUUUUAGGGAGCGCGAAUGGGUCUCCGACAGCAACGGGAGCAGCCGGUGGCGCCUCAGGCUGCGGUGGCAACGAGCCCGACUGCACUACGGCUUUGCGGGACCGCGCCAGCGCGGAGGAGACCGAGCCCAUCUCAGCGGGCCGGGCCGGACCCAGGCCUCUGGCCUCGUCCACCAAGAACCUGCCAGAGUUCCUUCCAGAGGCCCACCAACAGGUGCUCAGCAGAAUCUGCACUGAGGAGCAUUGGAAAGAUCUGACCUACCUGCCAACAUCCUACCAGAACCUGAAAGUCACCAAUUGGGAUUUAUGUCUUCGGAUCCUGAAGUUUUAACCACUGACAAUGUUGAAUUUUACCUAAGCCCUGUGCUUCUGGAAAACAGGGAAGGUCAAGACAUCCCCUACUGUUUUAAUCAAUUCAGGCUGCUAUAGCAAAAAUACCAGAGACUGGGUGGCUUAAACAACAAACAUUUAUUUCUCACAGUUCUGGAGGCUGGAGGUCUGAGAUCAGGGUGCCAGCAUGGCUGGGUUCUGGUGAGGGACCUCUUCCUGAUUACAUCUUCACACGGCCUUUCCCUGGCGUGUGCACAU
Long non-coding RNA from Homo sapiens (human), 687 nucleotides. The record is from Ensembl. Lineage: Eukaryota; Metazoa; Chordata; Mammalia; Primates; Hominidae.